CUCAUACAGAUACUGAGACCCGUUCCCCACUCGGCUUUGUGUUCUUGGUCUCUACAAUACAGUAGAGCUAUUCCUCACUGAAAUCAACAAACAUCUGGUGGUUCAUACAAAAUAGAAAAAAAUGAGUGCCAAUAUCCCAGUUUCCGAGGUCCAGUUACAAAAGCUUGCAGCUGAAUUUCCCCAUGACAAGUAUGGCCCACUGUGCUUGGCGCUUGGGGGCACUUCAAACCAGGCCCAGAACAGAUUGGUCAAACUCAAUAACGAUUACCCCAAGGCAGUCAUGGAGGUCCUCAUUGCGUGGAAGAAUCGUACAGGAGGUUAUAUGACUGAAUUAACCAAGGCUCUUAAAGAGAUUGAAGCUGGCGGACUUAUACCUAUUCUAAAACAGCUUUAAUUUUCCACAAAGUGUCUACAUCCAAAAGAUUCCCCAGCAUUCGAAAUUAAAACAUUGGGGAAAAAAUAAUGUCCACUUUGCUUUUACAUUCUUUUACUUACCCAAGCCAUUGUCGCAAUUUUAAUCAGCUCUUGCGAAAAUGGCUCCUACACUAACCGUAUUAACUUGAACCCUGUGCUGUUGUAUCUCACACUAACCUAACCCUGAACCUCAAAAUAAAACUAAAAUUAAACCCAAAUCUAAACCUUAACCUAAACCUAAGACCGAAUUGCAAUCUUAAACCAGACCCAUUGCAUUUUCAGCAAUAAAUCCAAGAGUGAUUGAGGCACACUCACACAAAUACACACGCAAUAACACACGAGAUACCACACAAAAAACUUUGUGUGUCACCUCCUGUAGCGUGCGAACAUUAUUGCAUACUUUAAACCUGAUUUCUUUACAAUGAGGUAGUAAAAUUGCCCUCAGGUGUGAAUGUAUGAUUUCUUACACAACAAAAUCGAUCGUGAUAUUGCUAAAUUUUCGGUUCCUUUCAUUAACAUAAAAAUAGAUUUUGGUCUGGAACACUUUUUAUCACAUUCCCUUACCUCCUUUGUACUGUUAUUUACUGUACUCUUAAACCUUCCACAACUCCUUGUUUUGAGUUUAUGUUCUAUGAACAACAAACGUUAAGUAGACAUUUAUCUGUUGAUUUGAGCUCGACAUUACGAUUUUUUCCUUCGUUCUAAUGC
This is a long non-coding RNA of Strongylocentrotus purpuratus (purple sea urchin), 1122 nucleotides long. RefSeq lists it as uncharacterized. The record is from RefSeq and is a predicted model, not a curated record. The transcript has 3 exons. Lineage: Eukaryota; Metazoa; Echinodermata; Echinoidea; Camarodonta; Strongylocentrotidae.